Dunckerocampus dactyliophorus (ringed pipefish) is the source of this 9422-nucleotide RNA transcript. It is a transcript of the gene named seizure protein 6-like, with no coding region annotated. Lineage: Eukaryota; Metazoa; Chordata; Actinopteri; Syngnathiformes; Syngnathidae. The record is from RefSeq and is a predicted model, not a curated record. The transcript is spliced from 17 exons.
CGCUAGGAGCUGUCCGCGGUGCUGAAGGCUGGGCUGCUUCUCCUUCCAAUGUGCUGCCAGCUCGCGCACACGCAAUCCGCUUACCGAGCGUCCAAAUUAAACGAGGACCUCCGCGUUUCACUUGAUCGUUGUCGGCUGUCAUCACACGGCCAAUCCAACACGGAAGUCAAGCAGCAACGCGUCCAGGAUUCAACUUUGCUUUUUUUUUUCUUUCUUUUUUUUUUUUUUACACCCAAUCGUCUCGACUUGCUUUUAUUCCCCCCCUCGUUCCGCCGCCGCUCUCCUCCGACACAAGGACGUUAUUGUGCAGCUCGGCGACCUCCACUUUAGAAGAGAUGAAGUGCGUGAGACGAGAUUGCACGUUGAAGAGCAUGCUGUCGCUUUGGCUUCUCGCGGCCGCCGCGGCCACCAUCCACGGCCGAGGUCCAAAGGAGACUGACGGCAUUAGGAGGAGGACUUCAGAUAUAAACAAGGGUCACAUCACACACCCCUCCACAGAAGACAGAGAAGGUGAAGUCCCCUCGGUCACCACCGCAUCACCCAUUAACAGCCCGGACCACCGUCCUGUCCUUAAGGGCUUGAUGCUUCACGAGCACCUUCUCUUGAGGGACUUUCAGGGAGACCAGCACUUUUUCAGGAGCGAUGGCUCCGUGGCGGCGCAUCCCACCAUGCCAGGCUCCGCCCCCGAUGCGGUGCAUCCCGUCACUCAAACGAUUCCCCACGAGGAUGCUCCAGCCUUCUCAGAUGUCGCCUCAACGGCCACUGCAGCUGCCACAUCUCCACUUACCACAUUCUCCUCAACAACGCCCAAACCUCUCAUGUCUCUUCUGCAGAAGUCCUCGGAGGACAAGACCAGAAAAGGGGAUGAGCAAAAGCCAACCACUCACUCCCUGACCACACAAGUAACACCAAAGAAGGACAAGACACCCGUGGCUUCCUUAUCGUGGCAGAGAGAUGAGCCUCAACCUUGGAGUGCUUUUUCUGGAGAUGCAACUCUUGCACCCUUCACGAUGAGGAUGGACAAAGGCCAGGCAAGGGAAACGACUCCAAAGGACAAAACCAAGCUCGAGCAGCCACUCCCAGAACUAACGUCAUCAUCCGGAACAGAGGGUGGCGCCACGACGUCGACUUCUGUCAUCACAACCACGACGAUAACCACCAUGCAAGCAUCUGAGCCCUGCAGCCUAAAUUUCACUGACCCCGAGGGCAACAUCGAAAUCCUGCAGCAGCUUGACACUGCAAUGGAGUGCAGCUACUUGAUCACGGUCUACCUGGGGUAUGGCAUCGAGGUUCAGGUCCUGAAUGCGAGUAUGUCCGAGGGGGAACAAGUGACAGUGGAGGACACGGGCGGCCGAGAAGCGUUCCUUCUCGCCAACGAGUCGGUCCUCAUGCGUGGGCUUGUGCUACGUAGUCGGAGCAACCAGAUAUCCGUCCGUUUUCGUAGCGACCAGCAGCGCAACUCCGGAGCCCUCCGGCUCCAUUACCAAGCCUUUGUGCUGAGCUGUUCGUUCCCCAAAGAGCCCACGGGUGGAGAAGUUUCGGUGACUCACCUCUACGCUGGCGGAGAAGCUUACUUCAACUGCUUCACUGGCUACAGGUUGAAAGGUCCCAAAACGCUCACCUGCCGUAACGCCACCACACCGUACUGGAGUGGGAAGGAGCCCCAGUGUGUGGCGUCCUGUGGGGGAAUGAUAAAAAAUGCCACCUAUGGCCGCAUUGUCUCGCCUGGAUUUCCUGGCAACUACAGCAACAACCUGACAUGCCACUGGGUCCUGGAGGCCCCUGAAGACCACCGGCUGCAUAUUCACUUCGAGAAGGUGGCUCUGGCAGAGGAUGAUGACAGGCUGUUGAUUAAAAAUGGCAACAAUAUCGACUCCCCCCCGGUGUAUGACUCCUACGAGGUGGAGUAUCUGCCCAUCGAGGGGGUGCUGAGCACAGGGCGUUAUCUCUUUGUGGAGUUUACCACAGACGGGACGCUCACCUCCACCGGCGCCGCCAUCAGAUAUGAAGCUUUUGCAAAAGGAACGUGCUACGAGCCGUUUGUGAAGUACGGCAAUUUCAGCAGCAGUGACUCAACCCACAGCGUGGGCGCCGUGGUGGAGUUCUCGUGUGACCCCGGCUACACGAUGGAGCAAGGCUCCGUUGUCAUCGAGUGUGUGGACGCCGAAAACGCUCAGUGGAACGAGACGGAGCCGGCCUGCAGGGCUGUUUGCAGCGGGGAGAUCACCGACUCUGCCGGCGUGGUGUUGUCUCCUAACUGGCCCGAGGCCUACGAUAAGGGCCAGGACUGCAUCUGGGGCGUCCACGUGGAAGAGGACAAGAGGAUCAUGCUGGACGUCCAAGUACUAAACCUGGGCAAAAACGACCUCCUGACGUUCUACGACGGCGAUGACCUGUCUGCCAACAUCCUGGGCCAAUACAGCGGCAAGCGCCCUCACUUCAAGCUCUACACGUCCAUGGCUGACGUCACCGUUCAGUUCCAGUCAGAUCCCGCCACGAACAUCUACGGCUACAACAACGGCUUCGUGGUGCACUUUUUUGAGGUCCCAAGGAACGACACCUGCUCUGAGCUGCCAGAGAUCACCAACGGCUGGAAGAGCACGUCCCACCCAGACCUCAUCCACGGCACCGUGGUCACCUACCAGUGCUACCCUGGAUAUGAGCUGGCAGGCUCCGAGAUCCUCAUGUGCCAGUGGGAUCUCAGUUGGAGCGGCGAUGUGCCCAAAUGUCAGCAAGUGAUGACAUGCCAGGACCCUGGAAACGUGGAGCACAGUCGGCGAGUGGUGACGGGCACCCGCUUCGCCGUGGGAUCGUCCGUGCAGUUUGUCUGUAAUAAAGGCUACAUUCUGUCAGGCAGCAACAACCUCCUCACCUGCUACAACAGAGACUCAGCCAAACCCAAGUGGAGCGAUCGGCUGCCCAAGUGUGUUCCUGAAAAGUACGAGCCGUGCAGGAAUCCCGGCGCUCCCUCCACCAGUGCACAAAGUUCUGAAAAGGCUUUCUACCAAGCAGGCGAGACCCUGACCUUCUCCUGCCACCCAGGCUAUGAGCUUCAGGGCACGGCCACCAUCUACUGCAUCCCUGGACAUCCGUCACAGUGGAACAGCACGCCGCCCGCUUGUCGAGCCUCCUCCAGUCAAUACGUGAAUGAACGCAGGUUGGACGUUGUCAAUACAGAUUACAGCACUGAGGGAACCAACAUCGCCCUCGCUGUCUUCAUUCCAACCGCAGUCAUUUUGGCGGGUGUGCUCGGGAUUUAUGUCUGUGCUGCAAAAUUCCAAGGGAAGUCCAUCAGAAUGCCGACACCCUCGCCGCCGUAUGACAACAUGGCGGAGGAGUCGGCCUUCGAUAACCCAGUUUAUGACAGAGGAGUAAGUACGGAUGUGAUGAGCAUGCAAGACGUGGACUCACAAAACACCAGCGUGCUGUCCUGAACCUCCCUCCCUGCGUCUGGGGUGGGCUGUCUCGUCUCCAUCCCAUGUUUCACCAGAAGAGGGCGCCCGCACCUCAUCUUCCCAUCACCACCGCCAUCAGCAGCAAAGCAUACAACAGUGGCAGACACAUUGUAGAUACUAAACCCCGUCACUAUGUCCAUUUUGGCUCCGCUUCGUAACAACAAUGAGGUGAGAUCUUCGCCCGUUGCCGAGAGCGCAUCUCACACACUGUCACCUGAGCCUCCAGACCGUCCUAUUGACCACCUCUUCCUACCUGUCACACCCUUUUAUGACCUCUGGAGGGGAAAACUUGACACUGGCUUCACUUUUGAAAUGUAUUUGUGGCAUCAUGUCUCCCUUCAGAGAAACAUGAGGAAUCCUGCACAUAACACACUGGAAAGCUGAUACAUACUAAUCUAACAUACGCAUUAGCAAACACAUGCAGUAUUAUAUUGCAUAGACGACACGUAACACAAAAGGAGCCAUAAGAGGAUCCAGUCAAGCUCUUUUUGACCCCAACUGCUGAUGUACCUAAUGAAAUGGCAGCAGAGUGUUUACUUUAACUGCUGUGUAUCACAAUCAAGCACAACUAAACACAGUGGAACUUUGGUUAGCGUACGCCCUGGUUAGCGUAUUUUCAGGAUUGCCUUGAAAAUAUACACAAAAUUUUGGCCUGGGUUUCCAUUCAUUUUUCGGUCUUGUCGUGUUAUUAAUACAUAUUUUUACCACAAAACAUCCUCGUUUGCGGCCUAUUAGCUUGCUGAUAGAGUGGAAGCUCAGUUAGCAUACACCUCGGUUUGCCUCAGUUUGUGUCAAAAAUGUCCACCAAAAUUUAGCGUGAGUCCACAUACAUUUUUCUGUUUUGCAUGCAAUGUGGCGCGCAUUGUUGUGUGAUAUUAAUUCUUUCAAUGCCAAAGACGUCAAUAGACGCGGGAGCUACAGAUCAAAGUCUUAUUCAUCUUGUGUGUCAAUUUCUGACUAGUAGGCUAAGUAUUUCUGUCCCAAUAGGGGGCAACAGUUCUCUUCUGCUCCAACCGGCAGCGACAGAUUGUCUAUGAAUAAGACGGAUUGUGGGUUGAGAGAGGAAAAUGGCAAAACACAAGAAAUCGAGCAGAGACAAAACUGACAGAUGGCUAACACUGCACAGAGCUUGUCUGGCGGUGGAUCUGCCUUUAGUAGAGACGCGAUCGCACAAGAUAGAGGUGACAUGGGUGAUGUAGGUGACGUAGACACCAAUGCAGUUGACAACGGCAGCCGAAGCAACAAGCUAGUGGUUAGCGUUGCUGAGCCGUGUGGUGCGACACCGGAGCCUGACACCGGAAGCAGUUCAGAGUCAGGUGACUCAGAACCCGACCCUGAUUCUUCUGACGAGUUGCUGCCCUCUGGAUCGGUCAGCAGCAGGGAUCCAGCAGACCCCACCGUCACUCUGCUCGAAUUUGCUUUUCUGCAGAAAAGCUUGUUUUCUCAGUUUUUUUGGUGAAAAUCUGGUGUUUUUGCUGAAACUACCCUAUGUUCUACCACCAAUAUCUAAAGACCCAAAAAGGCUAGAAACAAACUAAUUUUCCUGAUGAAAGAAGAGAAUCUAAAGUUUCUUUAGAUACUUUCAAUGUUUAUGUAGUCGUAAAACUCAAUAUUCUGUGGGUCUUGAAAGUUCAGCCCAAAAGCUGUGGCGGUAUGGAGCUCUGCGCUCUGAACGGGUUGGCAGUCAAUGGGUUAAUAUGCUGCGUGAAUCCAGCUGCGUUUUUAAUGAGUAUUUACUGUAUCAUAAAACGUCCUUGUUAGCAGCCUAUUAGCUUGCUAAUACAGAAGAAGCUCGGUUAGCAUACGUCCCAGUUAGCACGUUUUUCGGUUUGUGUCGAAAAUUUACACAAAAAUUUUGCGCACGUCUUGUGUUAUUAAUACACUGUAUAAGCCCCACUGUGAUUUUAAUGUAUUUUUAUCAUAAAACGUCUUUGUUAGCAGCCUAUUUGCUUGCAUGGAAACAGGAAGCGGACGUCUAUGAUGUCAUCAGCGGUUGUAGUUCUUGGCUAGCUAACACAGUUAGCCACAAGUCUCUGUUUUUCUUUUGGGUUAGUGUUAGGCUGUAAAAUUAGCCACGAUGGUGCCAAAGUAAGUUGCAAGUGCAUUUAUAUGCAUUUCCAAUCCUUCUUCUGCAUGCAAAAGUAUAAUUAUCAAACUGUAAAAACGUGUUUUGUGUUUUCUGGAACGGAUGAAUUGCACGUACGUGAUUGGGAAUUGUGGGAAACAAUGACUGGAUUAGCCUACCUUUCGGUUGGAGUUGGGCGCUAAGCGAGGUUCCACUCUACCUAGCUGCUAACACCUGCAAUCAUGUCUAACGAUACUAUUUGUAUGCUGCACAAAUGUAUGACACGUUCUCCCAACCUGCAGAGAUCUUCACUAGGAUCUUCUAUUCUCUGUAUAUUUUCAUGUUGUUAGCGGGAGAUGAAAUGUGCAUUGUUUCUUUAUUGAGUUACAGUGUUCCCCCGCUCCAUCGCGGUUCACAUUUUGUGGACUUGCUGUUUCGCAGAUUUUUUUUGUGCUUUUUAAAAAAAAAAGUAUAGCGUAUGAAUGGUGGCCCUUUAAAAAGAAUUGCAUUGUGGGAAGUUGAGUGUUGUAGUUCUGUGCUUUAGCACGAGGCGGCGUUGUCUCUCUAGUUUCUCUCUUCUGUAUGCACCACCCAUUGUCUUCUGCGUCCUGAUUGGCUGUAGACCAUGGUCAGUCAACCUCCUUCAUGCUAUCUCCUGUUGUGGUCAUGGCUAGCAAACUAGCUAAUCGUGUGAGCUGCUCGCUAGCCACCAGUAAAAAAUAGUGUCGACGAAACGUUCUGCACCCAAAAGGCAGAGGAAGAUGCUAACCAUCACACAUAAAUUUGUACUUCAGGACAUGCUGAAGGAAAGCAGAAAGAGGAAAAUACGACGACAGGAGCAAUAUGUUUUAACAAGGAUACAAUACGCUGCAGUACAGCAGAACAGCGCCAGGACGAAAUUCAUGUGCAUCACUUAAUCCUGUCUUGUGUCCAGCCUAGUAGGUUGAUCAUUAAAAUUCAAACGAACUUUGAACUUGGAGUGUUUAAACAAGAGAGAAAUGUGAGAAAAUGUUAAUGCCUGUCUGAGAAAAGUGUAUCAAGUGUAUGGUGGGGGUCUUUACAGCCUUAAAACAUAUACAGUAUAAUCCUUGUAAGAAAUAAAGUUGGCUACUUUGCGGAUUUCGCUUAUUGCGGGCUAUUUUGGGAACCUAUCCCCCGCGAUGAAGGAGGGAACACUGUAUAGUGGUGACAAAAUGAAUCUUGGGUACCAUUUGGUCACACCCUGACAGGAGUAUCCGGUUCACAUCACAAUUUCUGUGGCACAGAUAAUAUUGAUGAAGUACAGGGAUUUGGGAAAUCCAAUUAGGUUCAUUACUCUCAUGUCCCCCGCCGUCACGCUCGUUAUGUUGCAUGGGAAGCGCCUUGAACGCCUUCUGUUUUGUUUCACACACGCACCAGCUGCAAGAAGCUAGGCUACAGUUCCAGCAUGUGACCCAAUGAAGUGAACUACAACAGAUAUCUAAAAAUCAUGUGGUUAAACGCGGGGUCUGGUCAACUUCCUGGCUACAGCUGGUGAACGUCAGGUGGUUUGUCUUUGAAAAAGUACACAGCCUUACGUCAGGCGGAUAGUGGAGUUGGAGUUGGCCAUCGUAUUCACAGUCUUUGCUGCUUCAAUGUCGGGAUAAGAUGGACGUGAUUGAUUGUUUUGCUUACCUGACUGUUUGGAAGAAGUCCAAAACAGGACACUCUGCACACCGUGAACCCGGAGGUGUUUCAUCCUGUGAGCAAAACUAGCGAGUGGCGUCGCAUACAGUCGAAGGUUGAAAUGGAUGAACACAAACGCUUCCUGAUGCUUCUUCUUCGUUGGUGUUUUUGCCGGAUGGUGGGCUGGUCGAUCGCCGAACGCAGGCAUGGAAAUUUAAAAAAAUAAACGAUUCAGGGAGAAUCGGAAUGGUUGUCCCGGUUCCCAUCGAUGCUCGAUGCCCAACCCGAGUUAUCGCUGUCGUACAUUUUUGCUUUUAUUUUAUUUGCCUCCAUGUUUUUACGUUCCCACUUCCAAUUUUGACUCGCUUGUCGGGUCCUUAGGUUCUCAGGUUGGGAGAAGGUGUCACGUCUACUUAAGUCUGUUGAUCUGAUUUUGUCAGCUGCCCUUUGACUGCUUUGUGUGUCUGGUCUUUACAGGACAAAUGAGAAAAAGAUAAAGAGCUGUGAAUUUAGAGCCCUUGAAUUGCUCAAGCUUUGCCUUUGGGGACCUUCCUCUGCACUGCUCAUCUUUCCCUUCAAGUAUUGUGUAAAUACUUUACGGCUUUCCCAGGUCAACUCUGUGAAUUUGUGGAUCACCAUGGUGAUAUUUUUAUAAACUAAAUUGCUGACGACCCAAGGUGAUUACAUAAAAUUUGUGUAUUUUUGAUGCCCUUACUCAGUCACUGCUCGACCUUGAGGGGAAAGGGGCUUUCUUUGAAAACCCUUUCGAUACAAUUUCCCCAUCCCGUCCUUCCACUUUCGUCAUUCAUUUGCCACCAUGACUGUAUUUUGUUUGUGUGUAUGGAUCUGCUUUUUGUAAAUAAACUGCCUGUCCAAUACAGUACACGUGUCUCCUGACCUGACUGAUACUAGCCUGACAAAUCAGCGUGAAAUAUCAAAGCACUGAGCCGUUAUUUAUUAUCUGGUGUGCUGACAUUGUCGCUACUCUUUACCUGCAUAUCAGACCAUGCAACAAGAAUAAAAGAUACGGCCCUGGAGCACUUCAAAUCUUACACAUCUACCACAAUGUUAGGCACGCCUGUACGAGCUAAUGAAAUAUUUCACUUCACUUAUUUCAUUCAACUGCACACCAAACGGAGCUGAUCAUAUUUUCUAAACUGACCCAUCAUCAUGAAAUUGUAUUGAAAGAAAAUGGGUUAUUAACUUAUCCAAUACUAUUUAGAUUUACAUUUCCUGAUUUGCCAGCCUCCGAUUCGAUUUAAGGUGGAAUUACACUAAGUGUUACUCUCGGUGUCUGCUCCUUGUCAAAGCAUUUUAGGUAAGACGUUACUUGCCUGACACACACUAUUGUAUUUGUCAAACUUGUAUUUUAUAUGUGAAAAUGCAACUCAGGCACGUUUGUCUGUUUUUUCGGCCUCUACUUCUCCAAUCAGGACUAGAUGAGGCCACAGACCCUGAAAGUUCAUAAAACGCAGUUUCUGAUUUGCGAAAGCUUUAUUCUAUUUGUGAAAAUGCAAUAAAGGCACAUGUCUGUUUUUUCAGCAUCUAGCCCACAUUAGACCUGGUCCAGAUUGAAAACCAGUGAACCUAAACUUCUCCAAUCCGAACUAGAUGAGGUCACAGACCCUGAAAGUUCAUAAAAACACAGUUUCUGAUUUGUGAAACCUUUAUUCUAUUUCUGAAAGUGCAAUAAAGGCACUUUUCCGUGUUUCUUCAGCCUCUAGACCACAUCAGACUAGACCUGGUCCGGUUUGACAACCACUGGUCUUACGUGAAAUGCUUUCCCAAUAAGAAGCGUCACAAAAAACAGACAAUCCGAACAAACGGCAGCACCGCACAAUAGGUUCAUUCCACCUUAAAUGUCCCUUGUGGCGGACGGGAAGCUGGCGAAUGAGAAGCGUGGUCUCACAGCGUGCUUCGAGGUGUACACUGAAGUCACACGAAGAAGAAGAAGAAGAAUCAUAGAUCCCAAUCUUACUGUUUUUCAGGUCAUGGAGGUGCCUGUGAUAUUGAAACAUUUGCAUAUAAUGUGUGUACUCAUCAUUGACAGCAGACGCUAUCACACGCUGGAAUGUGAUUUUCAUCCGAGCAUCCACGUGAGAUGUCACGUGAUGCCCUCUGUUAUCUCUGUACUUUAAGACAACUCUAUGAAAGGUUCUGUCACCUUAAACAAAUAAAGAUUUCAGCUUUAUCUGAUAUGCACAGGUGUUUCCUGUGUGUAUGUGUGGACUCGUCUUUGAAAUGUGUGUUAUAUUCAU